ACUUCAACAACAAUUCACAAGUAUAAACAACUCUGAAGUAGACCACAGAGCCUAGAGAAAGAAGCGAAGGAAGACAGCUGAGGAGAAAUCCAAAUAACUUGAACAUUUUAACAAUAAUUGCAGGAAUUUACAGCCCUUCUCAGAAAUCAGCAGAGGACGCCAGCCAACCCUGGAAUGCCAGUCUAUUCACACCAUCUCUGGCCUCCCUGUUCCCUGGACUCAGCUAACCUGAUUUAAAUAAGCAAGACCACUGGGCAACCAAUCAGCUGAAGAGGUCAAACAGCUUCUACAUUUACCCCAAUAAAAACUCCUCUGUCUGUGAGCAACGCGGAACACAGUCCUCCGGCCGCCCUGAGUUUCCCUGCUUACAGGUUGAAACUCUUGUAAUAAAUUGAUUUUUCUGCUUUGUUGUACAUGGCGUGCAGAGUUUGGUUUUUGACCAAACAAAUAUUGACUUGAUUUACCAUAGGUCCUCUAUAUGACAAAGCUGAAUAACUGAUAUCACAAUA
RNAcentral lists this long non-coding RNA (509 nucleotides) under Equus asinus (donkey). Its description in RNAcentral is "lncRNA (ENSEASG00005031978.1)". The record is from RNAcentral. Lineage: Eukaryota; Metazoa; Chordata; Mammalia; Perissodactyla; Equidae.